UACGUAGGGGGCAAGCGUUGUCCGGAAUCAUUGGGCGUAAAGAGCGUGUAGGCGGCCCGAUAAGUCCGCUGUGAAAGUCCAGGGCUCAACCCUGGGAUGCCGGUGGAUACUGUCGGGCUCGAGUCCGGAAGAGGCGAGUGGAAUUCCUGGUGUAGCGGUGAAAUGCGCAGAUAUCAGGAGGAACACCAAUGGCGAAGGCAGCACUCUGGGACGUGACUGACGCUGAGACGCGAAAGCGUGGGGAGCAAACAGG
Molecule: ribosomal RNA, 253 nt
Filed under: uncultured bacterium
Lineage: Bacteria
Description: partial 16S ribosomal RNA
Rfam family: Bacterial small subunit ribosomal RNA
Source: RNAcentral